GAGUCUAAGAGGGGGAACUAGAAUUCCAGGUGUAGGGGUGAAAUCUGUAGAUAUCGGGAAGAAUACCGGAGGCGAAGGCGAGUUCCGGGCUAUAGACUGACGCUGAGGCGCGAAAGCGUGGGGAGCGAACAGGAUUAGAUACCCUGGUAGUCCACGCGGUAAACGUUGUGCACUAGGUGCUGGCCUUAUGGGGUCAGUACCGUAGCAAACGCGAUUAGUGCACCGCCUGGGGAGUAUGCUCGCAAGGGUGAAACUCAAAGGAAUUGACGGGGGCCCGCACAAGCGGUGGAGCAUGUGGUUUAAUUCGAUGAUACGCGAGUAACCUUACCAGGGCUUGACAUGUACUUGACUGCCAUAGAGAUAUGGCUUCCCUUCGGGGCAGGUAGACAGGUGCUGCAUGGCGGUCGUCAGCUCGUGCUGUGAAAUGCUGGGGUAAGUCCCGCAACGAGCGCAACCCGUACUGUGUGUUACCAGCAUGUAAUGAUGGGGACUCAGACGGCACUGCUCGGUGACAAACCUGGAGGAAGGUCGGGGAUGACGUCAAGUCAUCAUGGCCCUUAUGUCUUGGGCUACACACGGGUCUACCAAAUGGUUGGUAUCAGCGUGACGCAAGACCGCGAGGUGGAGCA
RNAcentral lists this ribosomal RNA (629 nucleotides) under uncultured organism. RNAcentral's name for it is "bacterial SSU rRNA". It matches the Rfam family "Bacterial small subunit ribosomal RNA", at positions 644 to 1269 of the family's 1533-position model. The record is from RNAcentral.